Poecilia latipinna (sailfin molly) is the source of this 292-nucleotide long non-coding RNA. RefSeq lists it as uncharacterized. NCBI's taxonomy places the organism in Eukaryota, Metazoa, Chordata, Actinopteri, Cyprinodontiformes, Poeciliidae. The transcript has 3 exons. The record is from RefSeq and is a predicted model, not a curated record.
UUUUUACUCUCUGUCUCUUUGUUGUUUAAGCACACCCGUUGACGUGGCAACCGCCUGCGCCCCGCAAGGCGAGCAGAGAUUAUUUUAAAAACACAACAUUCAGUUCGUUACGAUAUCAGGUUUCCAGACUCGAUAUUAUUUCUCGAUUAUUAAUAAGCUUCUCAUGAACACAGCGGUGUUGAGCAGCUAACUUAAACUCCUGCUCUGCUCAUCAGUCGGUCUUUGAGUCGCCUUUUUUUCCUCUUUUGUUUGUUAAUGGAACCGAAACGCACUAAAUUGCGCAACACCUUGU